AGAGUUUGAUCAUGGCUCAGGAUGAACGCUGGCGGCGUGCUUAACACAUGCAAGUCGAGCGAAGCGCUUAAGAAAGAUUCUUCGGAUGAUUUUUUAAGUGACUGAGCGGCGGACGGGUGAGUAACGCGUGGGUAACCUGCCUCAUACAGGGGGAUAACAGUUAGAAAUGACUGCUAAUACCGCAUAAGCGCACAGUGCUGCAUGGCACAGUGUGAAAAACUCCGGUGGUAUGAGAUGGACUCGCGUUGGAUUAGGCAGUUGGCGGGGUAACGGCCCACCAAACCGACGAUCCAUAGCCGGCCUGAGAGGGUGAACGGCCACAUUGGGACUGAGACACGGCCCAAACUCCUACGGGAGGCAGCAGUGGGGAAUAUUGCACAAUGGGGGAAACCCUGAUGCAGCGACGCCGCGUGAGUGAAGAAGUAAUUCGUUAUGUAAAGCUCUAUCAGCAGGGAAGAAAAUGAC
This 465-nucleotide ribosomal RNA is filed under the name uncultured bacterium. Its description in RNAcentral is "bacterial SSU rRNA". It matches the Rfam family "Bacterial small subunit ribosomal RNA", at positions 8 to 455 of the family's 1533-position model. The record is from RNAcentral.